Molecule: ribosomal RNA, 309 nt
Filed under: Apareiodon affinis (darter characine)
Lineage: Eukaryota; Metazoa; Chordata; Actinopteri; Characiformes; Parodontidae
Description: partial small subunit ribosomal RNA
Rfam family: Bacterial small subunit ribosomal RNA
Source: RNAcentral
UCCGCCAGGGUACUACAAGCGCUAGCUUAAAACCCAAAGGACUUGACGGUGUCUCAGAUCCGCCUAGAGGAGCCUGUUCUAGAACCGAUAAUCCCCGUUAAACCUCACCACCCCUUGCUCAUUCCGCCUAUAUACCGCCGUCGCAAGCUUACCCUGUGAAGGUCCAAUAGUAAGCAAAAUGGAUAUAACCCAAAACGUCAGGUCGAGGUGUAGCUUACGAGGUGGGAAGAAAUGGGCUACAUUUUCUACCCCAGAAUAUACGAACAACACCAUGAAACUGGUGUUUGAAGGUGGAUUUAGCAGUAAAAG